AACUCCAACGCGCUAAAUCCAGCUCCUUCACUUGUCCGGGGGCCACUUAGCUCGGCGGUGACUUUGUGCUGCGCGCGGUACGAAGCCCUUUACGUCCGUCAUCCCGUAUAAUUCUUUCAGCAAAACCGAGGUGGGCGGUACGGCCUUGAUUUGCAAAGGAACUUGCCCCAGGCCUUGGGGCCCACGCGCCCUGGGACCGCUGCAGGCCGGGGCAGAAGUGCGAGGCUGCGGCCUGUUCUCAGCCUCCACAUUUCCCCUCCGCAUCCCCCUCCAGGAAGCACCGCCGAGCAGCCAGGAGUCUUUCUUGGCUCCUGACCCAAGUACCUGUCCUUCCCCUGGUCUCACUUUUAAGGGAGGUUCCGCCUUCCCUGACCCGUUCACAUAGAUCUGAACAUGCACCACGGUAUGAAGAGAUGCACCUCCUCCGAGGGAGGGGGCUGUGUGACGCUGGCCCAGUGCAUAGAACAUUGCCCAUGAAAAGAUGAGCUCUGGGGGUUGUUGCGCCAGGAGGCAGCUGCUUAAAACCACAGUCCUAACAGCAAAGGAAACGUUAACAGGUGGUCAAGAUUUCCCACUCUGGACCCAGGCAGGCUAAAAGGAUUCUUCAAGUUUAUGGGAGAAUUUGAUUCCUGACCCACAAGGUGGAG
Myotis brandtii (Brandt's bat) is the source of this 647-nucleotide long non-coding RNA. RefSeq lists it as uncharacterized. The transcript is spliced from 3 exons. The record is from RefSeq and is a predicted model, not a curated record. Lineage: Eukaryota; Metazoa; Chordata; Mammalia; Chiroptera; Vespertilionidae.